Molecule: ribosomal RNA, 384 nt
Filed under: uncultured bacterium
Lineage: Bacteria
Description: bacterial SSU rRNA
Rfam family: Bacterial small subunit ribosomal RNA
Source: RNAcentral
AUUGAACGCUGGCGGCAUGCCUUACACAUGCAAGUCGAACGGUAACGCGGGGCAACCUGGCGACGAGUGGCGAACGGGUGAGUAAUGCAUCGGAACGUACCCAGUAGUGGGGGAUAGCCCGGCGAAAGCCGGAUUAAUACCGCAUACGACCUACGGGUGAAAGGGGGGAGUCGCAAGACCUCUCGCUAUUGGAGCGGCCGAUGUCAGAUUAGGUAGUUGGUGGGGUAAAAGCCUACCAAGCCUGUGAUCUGUAGCUGGUCUGAGAGGACGACCAGCCACACUGGGACUGAGACACGGCCCAGACUCCUACGGGAGGCAGCAGUGGGGAAUUUUGGACAAUGGGCGCAAGCCUGAUCCAGCAAUGCCGCGUGCGGGAAGAAGGCC